This 273-nucleotide ribosomal RNA is filed under the name Triticum aestivum (bread wheat). RNAcentral's name for it is "partial small subunit ribosomal RNA". The record is from RNAcentral. Lineage: Eukaryota; Viridiplantae; Streptophyta; Magnoliopsida; Poales; Poaceae.
AUGUAUGCCGAUUCCAAGCCCACCUCAGAGAUGAGGAACUCAAAUGUGCGCUGCAUCCGUCCACCUGAACGUGCUCUUCAAGUACGCCACCGUGAUUGUGAUCUCCUCCUCGCCGAGGAAUGCAACAGACUGAAGUGCUUGCCUGAACAUCCCAGAGCCACGAGGCACACCUAUGUUUUCAGCGCACGCCACCAUUGCCUGAACAUGCUCCGGGUUGCUGGCGAUCAUCCUCGGUCUUGAGAUGCACAACUUGGCAAUAUCGCAAUCACCUAA